Molecule: ribosomal RNA, 129 nt
Filed under: Microsporidium sp. 2_SPb
Lineage: Eukaryota; Fungi; Microsporidia
Description: partial 16S ribosomal RNA
Rfam family: Microsporidia small subunit ribosomal RNA
Source: RNAcentral
UGGAAUUCACACCGCCCGUCGUUAUCUAAGAUGAUAUUGAUGAUGAAAAUUGAGAGAUGUGAAUUAUUUUUAUUAGAUCUGAUAUAAGUCGUAACAUGGCUGCGGUUGGAGAACCAGUUGCAGGAUCAA